RNAcentral lists this ribosomal RNA (250 nucleotides) under uncultured bacterium. RNAcentral describes it as "partial 16S ribosomal RNA". It matches the Rfam family "Bacterial small subunit ribosomal RNA", at positions 88 to 339 of the family's 1533-position model. The record is from RNAcentral.
AUAGAGACCGGCAAACGGGUGCGUAACACGUACGCAACCUACCUUAAAGUGGAGGAUAGCCUUUGGAAACGAAGAUUAAUACUCCAUAAUAUCAUAAUGCGGCAUCGUAUAAUGAUUAAAGAAUUUCGCUUUAAGAUGGGCGUGCGCCUGAUUAGAUAGUUGGUGAGGUAAUGGCUCACCAAGUCAACGAUCAGUAGCUGAUGUGAGAGCAUGAUCAGCCACACGGGCACUGAGACACGGGCCCGACUCC